This 91-nucleotide transfer RNA is filed under the name Clostridium butyricum 5521. RNAcentral describes it as "tRNA-Leu". It matches the Rfam family "tRNA". Rfam says of the family: Transfer RNA (tRNA) molecules are approximately 80 nucleotides in length. The record is from RNAcentral. Lineage: Bacteria; Bacillati; Bacillota; Clostridia; Eubacteriales; Clostridiaceae. RNAcentral also lists the same sequence under 4 other names.
UGCCGAAGUGGCGGAACUGGCAGACGCACAGGACUUAAAAUCCUGCGGUGGUUAAACACCGUACCGGUUCGAUUCCGGUCUUCGGCACCAA